GUAGGGAGAAAAUUGAACCGGCUAAGACGGCCAUAACGAGCGUUUCGACGGUAUACUGCGCAUUGAUAAUAUCUGCUGAAAUUUGUGGACCUUUUUUUAGUUGAGUUUAAAUAUGGUUAAAUGCAUAGCGUGGAGUUUAAGUGUCGUCGUUAUUGCAGAUAAAUAAUUCAUUUUUUAGUGUGUUCAAUCGGUUCAGCAACGCAUGUGUUGUUGUUGUUGUAUAUUUAUGUUGUGUUCGGCGCACAAAAACCAAAAUUAUACCAAUACACCAACACCAACAACCAACAUCAAAGAGCAACAGUGUUACGCACGACAUCAUAAAUAUGUAACAUUGAGGUGGAUUAUGAUAAACGCCAAGAUAUAAUAUGUUUAUUUUUAUUUAUUAUUUGUUUUUGUUUUUGUUGAUAAUCAAUAAGAAAAAGAAAAGAAAAAAGGAAGAGAACAAAGUUGAACAUUAAUAAUUGCAUUGCAAAACGGAAGUAAAUUGUAUGUGUGCGCAUAUGUGCAAUUGUUUAUAUUAAAGUCAUAUCUAACAGUUGGGAGGGUACAUAUGUAAAUAUGGCAAGGUUAAAGCUAAACUAUAAACAAUUUUUUGAUUAUGUUCAUAUUGUGAAAAUGAAAUGUAAUUUAGUUGAAUGAAGCUAUUUACAAGUGUGUGUGUACGUUUCUAAUAAACAAGUGAAUUUCAAAAACUAAAUUUUAAUUACUUUUCCAUUUAAUUAUAAUAUAAGAAAACCAAAAAUAAAAACAAUAUUUUCUAAAAUAAAUUUUUA
Zeugodacus cucurbitae (melon fly) is the source of this 773-nucleotide long non-coding RNA. RefSeq lists it as uncharacterized. The record is from RefSeq and is a predicted model, not a curated record. Lineage: Eukaryota; Metazoa; Arthropoda; Insecta; Diptera; Tephritidae. The transcript has 3 exons.